Molecule: ribosomal RNA, 484 nt
Filed under: uncultured bacterium
Lineage: Bacteria
Description: partial 16S ribosomal RNA
Rfam family: Bacterial small subunit ribosomal RNA
Source: RNAcentral
AUUGAACGCUGGCGGCAGGCCUAACACAUGCAAGUCGAGCGGAGGAACGGAGCUUGCUCCUGGAUUCAGCGGCGGACGGGUGAGUAAUGCCUAGGAAUCUGCCUGGUAGUGGGGGAUAACGUCCGGAAACGGGCGCUAAUACCGCAUACGUCCUGCGGGAGAAAGUGGGGGUUCUUCGGACCUCACGCUAUCAGAUGAGCCUAGGUCGGAUUAGCUAGUUGGUGGGGUAAAGGCCUACCAAGGCGACGAUCCGUAACUGGACUGAGAGGAUGAUCAGUCACCCUGGAACUGAGACACGGUCAAGACUCCUACGGGAGGGAGCAGUGGGGAAUAUUGGACAAUGGGCGAAAGCCUGAUCCAGCCAUGCCGCGUGUGUGGAGAAGGUCUUCGGAUUGUAAAGCACUUUAAGUUGGGAGGAAGGGCAGUAAGUUAAUACCUUGCUGUUUUGACGUUACCAACAGAAUAAGCACCGGCUAACUUCGUG